This is a long non-coding RNA of Neofelis nebulosa (Clouded leopard), 1053 nucleotides long. RefSeq lists it as uncharacterized. The transcript has 5 exons. The record is from RefSeq and is a predicted model, not a curated record. NCBI's taxonomy places the organism in Eukaryota, Metazoa, Chordata, Mammalia, Carnivora, Felidae.
AUAUUUUAAAUGGGUUAGAAUUAAGAUGAAGAGUGUCUAUAACAUCUAGAGGAUGGAUCUGCAAAAGGACUAAAGAAGAUGUCAUUUCUUUCAUUUUUCAUUUGUAUAAUUUCUAAGAAAGGCUGGUCCAAUUUAGGAAGUGGAAUCCUCUAGUGUCAUAAGGGGAGAGGCAAAGCCUUCAAUUCCUCCUAUGUUACUGAAAUCUCGAGUUACCCACAGUCAUGUGUUAUUCACCUCACCUCAUGCUCUCACAUCCAUCACGAGAAGGGAAAGGGUAAAUUUGGAGACAGCCUCACACACAGGGACAACUGUCAUGUGAACAUGAAGAUGGUCAUCUACAAGCUAAGGAGAGAGGCCUGGAAGAGAUCCCUCCCUCAUGGUUCUCAGAAGGAACCUUUCCUGCCAAUACCUUCAUUUUGGUCUUCUGGCCUCCAGAGCUGUGAGACAUUGCAUUUCUAUUGUUUAAGUCAUCCAGCUUUUGCUCGGUUUAAGCAGCCCUAGCAAACCAUUACAAGAGUCACAACUCCACUUAGAGUUACUUUUCUUUAAAAACAGCAAAUGCUUACAUAUAAAUUUAGCCUAUUCAAGGGCUUUUUGUUCAUUGUUCUUAUCAAGUUGGUCUAUUUUGUUAUUUUAUGAAGUAGGUCCAUGGGUCUUAGUGAGGUUUCUAGCCUCUCAUGGGUCUGGAUUUCCAAUGGUGACAAUCUGAUGGCUCAGUAAAAGUAACACUGGACCGGACAUUAUGCAGAAGGUGGUGGCUCUGCCACCACCUAUAUUGGUGGGUCACCUAGGAUUUCCAGGCUCAGCUGCUUCUUAGUAAAAAAGCCAGCUUUUCUGGGUUUCUAAUAUCCUUUUCUGUUCAAUGAUUCUGUAAUAAUGUGAUUUUGUCUCAAAGUUGAAGUCAACAUAGCAUAACCAAGUGGAGGAAGUGAAGCCAUUAAAAAUCAUUAUGGAGGGCGCCUGGGGAGCUCCGUGUGAUAUCCCUGCUUCUUGGGGGAUUUUGUUUUGGACGUAGUAAAUGUACUCAGGAUUCUAACACUCUCCCUGACUGUA